UAGGGAGCGGGAGAGGUAGACGGUAUUCUGUGGGUAGGGGUAAAAUCCUUUGAUCCAUAGAGGACCACCAGUGGCGAAGGCGGUCUACCAGAACGCGUUCGACGGUGAGGGAUGAAAGCUGGGGGAGCAAACCGGAUUAGAUACCCGGGUAGUCCCAGCUGUAAACGAUG
RNAcentral lists this ribosomal RNA (170 nucleotides) under uncultured archaeon. Its description in RNAcentral is "partial 16S ribosomal RNA". It matches the Rfam family "Archaeal small subunit ribosomal RNA", at positions 593 to 762 of the family's 1478-position model. The record is from RNAcentral.